UGAAUGUCUUGUGCCACUAUUACGGGAAGAAGAAAAUGGAGAUUUGAAAUACACGUUGAGAUGCCCCACUGCUGGUCUGUUCAAGUGCAAGUUCACUAGUCUGAUGUUUAAGAUGGAAACGGCAGGUGAGGUGGAGUAUCACUCAGUACCAUGGGAAAACAAGCUGGGAAAUCUUGACUGUGGACCAGCAGGACCUCUUUAUAACAUUAGCUGCUUCCCUGGGACUCCUGUUCAGAUACAUUUACCACACUGUGAGGUUAUUUCAGAUGGGAAGCUGGGGCAUCUGCGUGUUGCUCAUAUUACUGGUGAUGGUCUGGAGAUCAUUAAACCCACAGAGAUAACAGAGUAUCAUUU
This is a long non-coding RNA of Clupea harengus (Atlantic herring), 354 nucleotides long. RefSeq lists it as uncharacterized. The record is from RefSeq and is a predicted model, not a curated record. NCBI's taxonomy places the organism in Eukaryota, Metazoa, Chordata, Actinopteri, Clupeiformes, Clupeidae. The transcript has 3 exons.